AUAUAUAUAUCAACCUUCUCUUGUUGAGUGGUUUGGAUGUGGGGGUUUGCUGAGCUCUUAAAGGGUUCAGCUCUCCUGAAAUGCAUUAGCAGGACGACCCUUGUUCAUUGGUGUGAUAACUAUCUACGCUAUUGAAUAUGAGGGGCAGUUCAGCUUUCUAACGGUCCUUGGACAAAAUUCAUCAUUA
RNAcentral lists this unclassified non-coding RNA (187 nucleotides) under uncultured Cortinarius. RNAcentral's name for it is "sequence contains ITS2". The record is from RNAcentral. Lineage: Eukaryota; Fungi; Basidiomycota; Agaricomycetes; Agaricales; Cortinariaceae.